CUUGAUUGAACCGCAUGGUUCAAUCAUAAAAGGUGGCUUUCAGCUACCACUUACAGAUGGACCCGCGGCGCAUUAGCUAGUUGGUGAGGUAACGGCUCACCAAGGCGACGAUGCGUAGCCGACCUGAGAGGGUGAUCGGCCACACUGGGACUGAGACACGGCCCAGACUCCUACGGGAGGCAGCAGUAGGGAAUCUUCCGCAAUGGACGAAAGUCUGACGGAGCAACGCCGCGUGAGUGAUGAAGGUUUUCGGAUCGUAAAACUCUGUUGUUAGGGAAGAACAAGUACCGUUCGAAUAGGGCGGUACCUUGACGGUACCUAACCAGAAAGCCACGGCUAACUACGUGCCAGCAGCCGCGGUAAUACGUAGGUGGCAAGCGUUGUCCGGAAUUAUUGGGCGUAAAGCGCGCGCAGGCGGUUUCUUAAGUCUGAUGUGAAAGCCCCCGGCUCAACCGGGGAGGGUCAUUGGAAACUGGGGAACUUGAGUGCAGAAGAGGAGAGUGGAAUUCCACGUGUAGCGGUGAAAUGCGUAGAGAUGUGGAGGAACACCAGUGGCGAAGGCGACUCUCUGGUCUGUAACUGACGCUGAGGCGCGAAAGCGUGGGGAGCGAACAGGAUUAGAUACCCUGGUAGUCCACGCCGUAAACGAUGAGUGCUAAGUGUUAGAGGGUUUCCGCCCUUUAGUGCUGCAGCAAACGCAUUAAGCACUCCGC
Molecule: ribosomal RNA, 713 nt
Filed under: Bacillus sp. M_Sw_oHS_02/11_8_2(2)
Lineage: Bacteria; Bacillati; Bacillota; Bacilli; Caryophanales; Bacillaceae
Description: bacterial SSU rRNA
Rfam family: Bacterial small subunit ribosomal RNA
Source: RNAcentral